UAAAUAGAUGAAAUCGUGAACAACUUGUACAGUUUGAAAACACACGAUGACAAGUGACGGAAAAAUACAGUUUUGCAGCAAAGGAGCUGUAGCUACUGAUGUGGCCAUUUGUUCGGAAAUCGGGGCGUCCAUUUUACAAAAUGGUGGUAAUGCUGUUGAUGCUGCAAUCGCUUCAUGUUUUUGUCUUGGCGUUAUAAAUUCGCAUUCUUCAGGAUUAGGAGGUGGUGGUUUUAUGAUUGUUCAAGACCAGAAAACACAGAAAUCCUGGGGUUACGAUUUCCGUGAAGCAGCACCUAUAAGAUCUUCAGCGGAUAUGUUUUGUGGUAAAGAAGACUGUGUCUAUAGCAGUGGUUUAUCGGUAGGAGUACCAGGGGAGGUAAAGGGUUUGGAAGCUGCUCAUAAGGCACAUGGCAGGUUAAAAUGGUGUCAGGUAGUUAGACCAGCAGCAGACAUGGCCAGAAAAGGUUUUACGAUCACAGAAAAUCAAGGCAAGUUAAUUUUUUCUAAUAUAUAUACAGCUG
Long non-coding RNA from Patella vulgata (common limpet), 521 nucleotides. RefSeq lists it as uncharacterized. NCBI's taxonomy places the organism in Eukaryota, Metazoa, Mollusca, Gastropoda, Patellidae. The transcript has 5 exons. The record is from RefSeq and is a predicted model, not a curated record.